CAGAGCUUAGAAUACUAGCAUAAAAAGAAUAUAGGGAAGAAAUAAACAAAUUUGUCACAAAGAACCAUAGAGAGCCAGGGAAUUCAGCAAAAACAUUGGUAUAGAAAUGGAGGACAGGAAUGAAAUGUGGGGCUGAAAACAGAAGGAAUAAUUUAUUUACAAAGUGUGAUAGAUGUCAUGGCUCUCACUCAUAUUUUUUGUUUUAUUUCUUCUCAGUACAAGGUUCUUCUGACAUCCUGAGAAGUACCAGAGCACUCCAGACCUUGGAGGAAUGAAUAUUCAUGACUGGACAGAGGGCAUGGCUGAUGUUAUAGGAAAGUCUCAACAAAGGACAUUGACCUUUGAACUUGAGGCUUCUGGACUUAAUGAAGAAAGUUUAUCAAAAACUGCAUGUAAGAGUUUUGGAAGUUGGACAGUGGAAACAAAAACAGAAAAAGGAAGGAAGGGAGGGAAGACGGAAGGACCAAAGAGAAGCAGGUAUGAGCGAUGA
This is a long non-coding RNA of Pan paniscus (pygmy chimpanzee), 490 nucleotides long. NCBI's taxonomy places the organism in Eukaryota, Metazoa, Chordata, Mammalia, Primates, Hominidae. The record is from Ensembl.